ACCCUGGAAUGUAAUCUGGGCUUUCAUCACUCUGCAGCCGGAGCCGGGCAGGUCACCACCAGCCUGCGCUGGGCUGGGCUGCUGGUCACCAGGGAACUCUAGACUUCUGUCCAUAGCAGACUGCCAGGCCUAGAGCCCAGGGAGCCCAAGUAGCUGCCCCCAAGAGUGAAGUAAAGGGGUGGUGGGAAAUUCCCGUGCGGCUGCUGAUGAUGUCCUGUGCCAUUGAGGCCCUGCAUAGUCUGUUGGAAGGGAAAAAAUGAAAACGGGAAAGUAACCUUCAUCCUCCUCCCCUCACCCCUUUGAAUGCCAAGCAGAGGCCUCCUCCCAGCCCUGGAAGAAACCUUGGCUAUGUCCUUGUGCUGUGGCGUCGGAGAGAAAGAUGACCCGAGCCCAGUGGCUGCAUACCUAAGCUUCCAUGCUCUAGUGGCCACAUUAGAAAAAGUAAAAUGGAACAGGUAGAAUUAACUUUAAUAAUGUAUUGUGUUUAGCCCCAAGAUCUUUAAAACAUUAUCUCUUAAACACAUACAUUAAUACAAUAAUUUUUGAGAU
Molecule: long non-coding RNA, 549 nt
Organism: Sapajus apella (tufted capuchin)
Lineage: Eukaryota; Metazoa; Chordata; Mammalia; Primates; Cebidae
Exons: 2
Source: RefSeq, a predicted model, not a curated record